This 329-nucleotide unclassified non-coding RNA is filed under the name soil metagenome. RNAcentral describes it as "partial contains 5.8S ribosomal RNA, internal transcribed spacer 2, and large subunit ribosomal RNA". The stretch from base 1 to 120 matches the Rfam family "5.8S ribosomal RNA", at positions 35 to 154 of the family's 154-position model. The record is from RNAcentral.
GAUGAAGAACGCAGCGAAAUGCGAUAAGUAAUGUGAAUUGCAGAAUUCAGUGAAUCAUCGAAUCUUUGAACGCACAUUGCGCCCCUUGGUAUUCCGAGGGGCAUGCCUGUUCGAGCGUCAUUAUAACCCCUCAAGCUCAGCUUGGUGUUGGGGCCUGCUGCACUGGCAGCCCUUAAAAUCAGUGGCGGCGCCAUCUGGCUCUAAGCGUAGUAAUUCUUCUCGCUAUGGAGUCCUGGUGGAUGCUUGCCAUCAACCCCCAAUUUUUCUAUGGUUGACCUCGGAUCAGGUAGGGAUACCCGCUGAUCUUAAGCAUAUCAAUAAGCGGAGGA